This 501-nucleotide ribosomal RNA is filed under the name uncultured bacterium. RNAcentral describes it as "bacterial SSU rRNA". It matches the Rfam family "Bacterial small subunit ribosomal RNA", at positions 29 to 507 of the family's 1533-position model. The record is from RNAcentral.
AUGAACGCUAGCGGGAGGCCUAAUACAUGCAAGUCGAGCGGUAUAGAGACUUCGGUUUCUAGAGAGCGGCGCACGGGUGAGUAACACGUAGGUAAUCUACCCUUUGGCGGGGGAUAACGUUCCGAAAGGAGCGCUAAUACCGCAUAAGACCACGGAGUCUCCGGACGCUGUGGGAAAAGGUGGCCUCUUCUUGAAAGCUACCACCGAAGGAUGAGCCUGCGUCCCAUCAGCUAGUUGGUAAGGUAAUGGCUUACCAAGGCGAAGACGGGUAGCUGGUUUGAGAGAAUGAUCAGCCACACUGGCACUGGAACACGGGCCAGACUCCUACGGGAGGCAGCAGUGAGGAAUAUUGGGCAAUGGGCGAAAGCCUGACCCAGCCACGCCGCGUGAGUGAUGAAGGCCCUCGGGUCGUAAAGCUCUGUGGAGAGGGACGAAAACCCUGGUUUCAAAUAGGCUCCAGGCUUGACGGUACCUCUUUAGCAAGCACCGGCUAACUCUGUG